Molecule: small RNA, 610 nt
Filed under: Drosophila ananassae
Lineage: Eukaryota; Metazoa; Arthropoda; Insecta; Diptera; Drosophilidae
Description: GF26710
Source: RNAcentral
AACAUUUAGUUUGUUUCGGGGUCUCAACCCGUAAACACCACAAAAUUCUCUGUUUUAUUUCGGCUUUUUUAAAUAAUAUUAAAUCAUUUUCGGCUAGAAUUAAGUAGAAAGUUUUUAGGCAUUAGUUUUAGGCAUAAAGUGAAGCUUCCCGCUCCGUUCAUAUGGAAUUACACAAAGCAUUCGGAGUACCGAUUUUUUUUUCAGACAUUUGGCUUACCUUCACAUGGCUGGUCGGAGCUCUCACACUCAGACUAACAAUGGACAGACGCGUACACACCCCAAACCAAGCAUACUCUUGUGAUUGUCUUCUCUCACACAAUAAACAAUGUGCUCUUCCAUCUCAAUUUUUUCGAAUUUGGACUCAAAUUCGAUCAAGGCGGACACACCUGUAAGGAUACCCCUGUAAAGACUCUACACAUAUCCUCACCUCACCUCCUUCGGAACUUUCUCUGCGGAAGAACACAAUGAUGAUUUGAAAAUAGCUGCUUAUACACAUAUACUAAAAGGCAUCUAGGAUACACAAUGGAUACUUCAAGGAUAUUAUCUCUCAUUAUCUCACGGACUCGAGGACUGAUAAGUAAAAAAUAAAUAAAAUGUUAACCAAAAAACA